GCCCAUUCUCUUAAACAUUUCGCUGGAGAUUUGUUCUCAGCCUAAGAGAAGUCUAGAGCAUGGCAAGAAUACACCAGCAGGAGGUUCUGCCUCUGUAGCUCUGGACAGUUACAGCCAGGCCCUUCACAGGACUCCUGCUCAGAAAUGAUGGAGCCAUCCUUGCUGCUGGAUGUGACCUGCCUCCACCCCUUGCUGAUGUGGGUCCCUGCUGGAAUCUCCACUCUGCCUGCACCUCCCCCAUCGAUGCUCUGGUUCACUCACAAAGGUAUCCUUCAAAGAGAGAGACUUGACUGCAGAACAGAGGACGGCAAUGUGACAUCAAAAGAAGACACUGGAGAGUUGUGGCCAGGAGCCAAGGAAUGCUGCCAACCACCUUAGAUGCUAGAAGAGCCAAGGAACAGGUUCUCCUCUGGGGCCCUCAGAAAGAACCACCUCUGUUAACACCUUGAUAUUAGCCCUGUGAGACUCAUUUUGGACUUCUGACCUCCAGCAUUUAAGAG
Homo sapiens (human) is the source of this 500-nucleotide long non-coding RNA. RefSeq lists it as uncharacterized. The transcript has 3 exons. The record is from RefSeq and is a predicted model, not a curated record. NCBI's taxonomy places the organism in Eukaryota, Metazoa, Chordata, Mammalia, Primates, Hominidae.